GCCGCAAUGGUGGAAUUGGUAGACACGAGGGACUUAAAAUCCCUUGGCCAGUAAUGGCUGUGCGGGUUCAAGUCCCGCUCGCGGCACC
This 88-nucleotide transfer RNA is filed under the name Prevotella nigrescens. RNAcentral's name for it is "tRNA-Leu(taa)". It matches the Rfam family "tRNA". Rfam says of the family: Transfer RNA (tRNA) molecules are approximately 80 nucleotides in length. Lineage: Bacteria; Pseudomonadati; Bacteroidota; Bacteroidia; Bacteroidales; Prevotellaceae. The record is from RNAcentral.